Molecule: ribosomal RNA, 715 nt
Filed under: gamma proteobacterium GM53
Lineage: Bacteria; Pseudomonadati; Pseudomonadota; Gammaproteobacteria
Description: bacterial SSU rRNA
Rfam family: Bacterial small subunit ribosomal RNA
Source: RNAcentral
UAGCAGGCCUUCGGGUGCUGACGAGCGGCGGACGGGUGAGUAACGCAUAGGAAUCUGCCUGGUAGUGGGGGAUAGCCCGGGGAAACCCGGAUUAAUACCGCAUACGCCCUACGGGGGAAAGGAUGGGAUCUUCGGACCAUUCGCUAUCAGAUGAGCCUAUGUCGGAUUAGCUAGUUGGUGGGGUAAAGGCCUACCAAGGCGACGAUCCGUAACUGGUCUGAGAGGAUGAUCAGUCACACUGGAACUGAGACACGGUCCAGACUCCUACGGGAGGCAGCAGUGGGGAAUAUUGGACAAUGGGGGCAACCCUGAUCCAGCCAUGCCGCGUGUAUGAAGAAGGCCUUCGGGUUGUAAAGUACUUUCAGUGGUGAGGAAGGGUGUUGUGUUAAUAGCGCAACACAUUGACGUUAGCCACAGAAGAAGCACCGGCAAACUCCGUGCCAGCAGCCGCGGUAAUACGGAGGGUGCGAGCGUUAAUCGGAAUUACUGGGCGUAAAGCGCGCGUAGGCGGUUAUACAAGCGAGAUGUGAAAUUCCCGGGCUUAACCUGGGGACUGCAUUUCGAACUGUAUGGCUAGAGUUUUGGAGAGGAGAGUAGAAUUCCCAGUGUAGCGGUGAAAUGCGUAGAGAUUGGGAGGAAUACCAGUGGCGAAGGCGGCUCUCUGGCCAAAAACUGACGCUGAGGUGCGAAAGCGUGGGGAUCAAACAGGAUUAGA